GACGAACGCUGGCGGCGUGCUUAACACAUGCAAGUCGAACGUGAUUUUUGUGGAAAUUCUUUCGGGAAUGGAAAUGAAAUGAAAGUGGCGAACGGGUGAGUAACACGUGAGCAACCUACCUUACACAGGGGGAUAGCCGUUGGAAACGACGAUUAAUACCGCAUGAGACCACAGAAUCGCAUGAUAUAGGGGUCAAAGAUUUAUCGGUGUAAGAAGGGCUCGCGUCUGAUUAGCUAGUUGGAAGGGUAAAGGCCUACCAAGGCGACGAUCAGUAGCCGGUCUGGGAGAAUGAACGGCCACAUUGGAACUGAGACACGGUCCAAACUCCUACGGGAGGCAGCAGUGGGGAAUAUUGCACAAUGGGGGGAACCCUGAUGCAGCGACGCCGCGUGAGCGAAGAAGGUUUUCGAAUCGUAAAGCUCUGUCCUAUGAGAAGAUAAUGACGGUAUCAUAGGAGGAAGCCCCGGCUAAAUACGUG
Molecule: ribosomal RNA, 478 nt
Filed under: uncultured bacterium
Lineage: Bacteria
Description: partial 16S ribosomal RNA
Rfam family: Bacterial small subunit ribosomal RNA
Source: RNAcentral